Molecule: ribosomal RNA, 327 nt
Filed under: uncultured eukaryote
Lineage: Eukaryota
Description: partial 18S ribosomal RNA
Rfam family: Eukaryotic small subunit ribosomal RNA
Source: RNAcentral
CCCUUAGACGUUCUGGGCCGCACGCGCGCUACACUGACGAAGGCAACGAGCUUUCCUUUACCGAAAGGUACGGGUAAUCUUUUGAAACUUCGUCGUGCUGGGGAUAGAUCCUUGCAAUUAUUGAUCUUAAACGAGGAAUUCCUAGUAAGCGCAAGUCAUCAACUUGCGUUGAUUACGUCCCUGCCCUUUGUACACACCGCCCGUCGCUCCUACCGAUUGAAUGAUCCGGUGAGCUUUUUGGACUGUGGUCACGGCUUUGGUUCGCCAAACUGAGGCCGCGGGAAGAUGCGCAAACCUUAUCAUUUAGAGGAAGGAGAAGUCGUAACA